Molecule: non-coding RNA, 178 nt
Organism: Paramuricea clavata
Lineage: Eukaryota; Metazoa; Cnidaria; Anthozoa; Malacalcyonacea; Plexauridae
Source: the annotation of a GenBank genome assembly
AAGGUUGUUCUAACAAGUCUGAUACAGUCAUGAUAUAACAAGAAUGUUACAAGGUUGUUCUAACAAGUCUGAUACAGUCAUGAUAUAACACUAUAACAAGAAUUUUAUAUGUUGGACCACACAGGGUUGUAACAAUAUUGUUAUAUCAUGACUGUAUCGGACUUGUUGGAACAACCUU